RNAcentral lists this ribosomal RNA (127 nucleotides) under Pantoea sp. ICBG 1758. RNAcentral's name for it is "partial 23S ribosomal RNA". The stretch from base 1 to 107 matches the Rfam family "Bacterial large subunit ribosomal RNA", at positions 2819 to 2925 of the family's 2925-position model. The record is from RNAcentral. Lineage: Bacteria; Pseudomonadati; Pseudomonadota; Gammaproteobacteria; Enterobacterales; Erwiniaceae.
CGAGAGCCCUGAAGGGACGUUGAAGACGACGACGUUGAUAGGCCGGGUGUGUAAGCGCAGCGAUGCGUUGAGCUAACCGGUACUAAUGACCCGUGAGGCUUAACCUUACAACGCCAGAGGCGUUUUG